GAGUUUGAUCGUGGCUCAGGACGAACGCUGGCGGCGUGCUUAACACAUGCAAGUCGAGCGAGAGCCAGUUGAGGGGUAACCCUCGGCUGGGGACAGCGGCGAACGGGUGCGUAACACGUGGGCAACCUGCCCCUGACACUGGGAUAACCCCGGGAAACCGGAGCUAAUACCGGAUACUCUCGGCCGAUCACAUGGCUGGCCGAGGAAAGGUCCGCCGGUCAGGGAUGGGCCCGCGGCCUAUCAGCUUGUUGGUGAGGUAACGGCCCACCAAGGCGACGACGGGUAGCUGGUCUGAGAGGACGACCAGCCACACUGGAACUGAGAUACGGUCCAGACUCCUACGGGAGGCAGCAGUGGGGAAUAUUGCACAAUGGGCGAAAGCCUGAUGCAGCGACGCCGCGUGAGGGAUGAAGGCCUUCGGGUCGUAAACCUACUUUCGGUCAGGGACGAAGCGAUCAGUGACGGUACCUGCAGAAGAAG
RNAcentral lists this ribosomal RNA (480 nucleotides) under uncultured bacterium. RNAcentral describes it as "bacterial SSU rRNA". It matches the Rfam family "Bacterial small subunit ribosomal RNA", at positions 9 to 490 of the family's 1533-position model. The record is from RNAcentral.